RNAcentral lists this ribosomal RNA (492 nucleotides) under uncultured bacterium. Its description in RNAcentral is "partial 16S ribosomal RNA". It matches the Rfam family "Bacterial small subunit ribosomal RNA", at positions 29 to 507 of the family's 1533-position model. The record is from RNAcentral.
AGUGAACGCUGGCGGUAGGCCUAACACAUGCAAGUCGAACGGCAGCACAGUAAGAGCUUGCUCUUACGGGUGGCGAGUGGCGGACGGGUGAGGAAUACAUCGGCAUCUACUUUUUCGUGGGGGAUAACGUAGGGAAACUUACGCUAAUACCGCAUACGACCUACGGGUGAAAGCAGGGGAUCUUCGGACCUUGCGCGAUUGAAUGAGCCGAUGUCGGAUUAGCUAGUUGGCGGGGUAAAGGCCCACCAGGGCGACGAUCCGUAGCUGGUCUGAGAGGAUGAUCAGCCACACUGGAACUGAGACACGGUCCAGACUCCUACGGGAGGAAGCAGUGGGGAAUAUUGGACAAUGGGCGCAAGCCUGCUCCAGCCAUACCGCGUGGGUGAAGAAGGCCUUCGGGUUGUAAAGUCCUUUUGUUGGGAAAGAAAAGCAGCAGGUUAAUACCCCGCUGUUCUGACGGUACCCAAAGAAUAAGCACCGGCUAACUUCGUG